This 429-nucleotide ribosomal RNA is filed under the name Gemmatimonadota bacterium. RNAcentral's name for it is "Gemmatimonadetes bacterium partial 16S ribosomal RNA". It matches the Rfam family "Bacterial small subunit ribosomal RNA", at positions 355 to 776 of the family's 1533-position model. The record is from RNAcentral. Lineage: Bacteria; Pseudomonadati; Gemmatimonadota.
UUGGGAAUCUUCGGCAAUGGACGAAAGUCUGACCGAGCAACGCCGCGUGAGUGAAGAAGGUUUUCGGAUCGUAAAACUCUGUUGUUAGAGAAGAACAAGGACGUUAGUAACUGAACGUCCCCUGACGGUAUCUAACCAGAAAGCCACGGUUAACUACGUUCCAGCAGCCGCGGUAAUACGUAGGUGGCAAGCGUUGUCCGGAUUUAUUGGGCGUAAAGCGAGCGCAGGCGGUUUCUUAAGUCUGAUGUGAAAGCCCCCGGCUCAACCGGGGAGGGUCAUUGGAAACUGGGAGACUUGAGUGCAGAAGAGGAGAGUGGAAUUCCAUGUGUAGCGGUGAAAUGCGUAGGUAUAUGGAGGAACACCGGUGGCGAAGGCGGCUCUCUGGUCUGUAACUGACGCUGAGGCUCGAAAGCGUGGGGAGCAAACAGG